UACGAAGGGUGCAAGCGAUACUCGGAAUCACUAGGCGUAAAGCGCAGGUAGGCGGUUUGGUAAGUCUUUUGUGAAAGCUCCCGGCUCAACUGGGAGAGGUCAAGGGAAACUACCGGACUAGAGUGUGGUAGGGGAUACUGGAAUUCCUGGUGUAGCGGUGAAAUGCGUAGAUAUCAGGAGGAAUACCUAUGGCGAAAGCAGGUAUCUGGGCCAUCACUGACGCUGAGCUGCGAAAGCUAGGGGAGCAAACAGG
This 253-nucleotide ribosomal RNA is filed under the name uncultured bacterium. RNAcentral's name for it is "partial 16S ribosomal RNA". It matches the Rfam family "Bacterial small subunit ribosomal RNA", at positions 524 to 776 of the family's 1533-position model. The record is from RNAcentral.